GAUGAACGCUGGCGGCGUGCCUAAUACAUGCAAGUCGAGCGAACAGAUGAGGAGCUUGCUCCUCUGACGUUAGCGGCGGACGGGUGAGUAACACGUGGAUAACCUACCUAUAAGACUGGGAUAAUUUCGGGAAACCGGAGCUAAUACCGGAUAAUAUAUUGAACCGCAUGGUUCAAUAGUGAAAGACGGUUUUGCUGUCACUUAUAGAUGGAUCCGCGCCGCAUUAGCUAGUUGGUAAGGUAACGGCUUACCAAGGCGACGAUGCGUAGCCGACCUGAGAGGGUGAUCGGCCACACUGGAACUGAGACACGGUCCAGACUCCUACGGGAGGCAGCAGUAGGGAAUCUUCCGCAAUGGGCGAAAGCCUGACGGAGCAACGCCGCGUGAGUGAUGAAGGUCUUCGGAUCGUAAAACUCUGUUAUUAGGGAAGAACAAAUGUGUAAGUAACUAUGCACGUCUUGACGGUACCUAAUCAGAAAGCCACGGCUAACUACGUG
This 497-nucleotide ribosomal RNA is filed under the name uncultured bacterium. RNAcentral describes it as "partial 16S ribosomal RNA". It matches the Rfam family "Bacterial small subunit ribosomal RNA", at positions 28 to 507 of the family's 1533-position model. The record is from RNAcentral.